This 489-nucleotide ribosomal RNA is filed under the name uncultured Marvinbryantia sp. RNAcentral's name for it is "partial 16S ribosomal RNA". The record is from RNAcentral. Lineage: Bacteria; Bacillati; Bacillota; Clostridia; Lachnospirales; Lachnospiraceae.
CACAGAGUUAGCCGAUGCUUAUUCCCCAGAUACCGUCAUUGCUUCUUCUCUGGGAAAAGAAGUUCAGGACCCGUAGGCCUUCUGCCUCCACGCGGCGUCGCUGCAUCAGGGUUUCCCCCAUUGUGCAAUAUUCCCCACUGCUGCCUCCCGCAGGAGUCUGGGCCGUGUCUCAGUCCCAGUGUGGCCGUCCGCCCUCUCAGGCCGGCUACUGAUCGUCGGUUUGGUGGGCCGUUACCCCGCCAACUGCCUAAUCAGACGCGGACCCAUCGCAUACCACCGGAGUUUUCCCGCUGUGCCAUGCAGCACUGCGGGCAUAUGCGGUAUUAGCAGCUGUUUCCAGCUGUUAUCCCCUGGUAUGCGGCAGGUUAUCCACGCGUUACUCACCCGUCCGCCACUAAGCCUCCGCACGCUUCCUACCGAAUAGUCCGUGUCCGGCGCUCCGUUCGACUUGCAUGUGUUAAGCACGCCGCCAGCGUUCAUCCUGAGCCA